This is a long non-coding RNA of Branchiostoma belcheri (Belcher's lancelet), 408 nucleotides long. RefSeq lists it as uncharacterized. The transcript is spliced from 3 exons. Lineage: Eukaryota; Metazoa; Chordata; Leptocardii; Amphioxiformes; Branchiostomatidae. The record is from RefSeq and is a predicted model, not a curated record.
UGACCGCGUUAACCUUGCUGCUAUCUAUGACGCAACACCACGUUCUAGAACGCCAUUCUUUCAUCACAAGGAACAGAGCCUAGCUACGCUUUCUUAGUGCUUCAUGCCCUGAGAUACACACAGGACAUUGCUGUGGAUGGAGGUAACAUCACUGAGGAUAAUGAUGAGAUAUUAGUGGCGUGGAGAGGGCAACCUUGAAGCGACAGCUGCCGACAUGCAGCGGUACUGCACAGUGCUGGUUCGGAGAAUCAGUACCAGCGCCGCCCACAGAGCCCAACAGAAAACCAAGUCUUUCCACAAGUUACCCCGGGGCGCGGCUAUGUUACAGGACUCACGGUAUUACAAGGGCAUGGCGUUUACAUUAGAAGAGAGACAACACCUGGGUAUCCAUGGGUUACUGCCACUGUC